Molecule: ribosomal RNA, 1038 nt
Filed under: Globisporangium mastophorum
Lineage: Eukaryota; Oomycota; Peronosporomycetes; Pythiales; Pythiaceae
Description: eukaryotic LSU rRNA
Rfam family: 5.8S ribosomal RNA (bases 215-369)
Source: RNAcentral
CCACACCUAAAAACUUUCCACGUGAACCGUCAAAUGAAACUAGUUUUGUGCCGGGUUGUGUGCGUUCUUAACGGAACAAGCGCGGCCUGGCUAAACGAAGGUCGAGUUGUUUUUCCUUUAUUGGAGAGACGGCGUGGCUGAUUUAUUUUUCAAACCCAUUACCUAAAUACUGAUGAUACUGUGAGGACGAAAGUCCUUGCUUUUACUAGAUAGCAACUUUCAGCAGUGGAUGUCUAGGCUCGCACAUCGAUGAAGAACGCUGCGAACUGCGAUACGUAAUGCGAAUUGCAGGAUUCAGUGAGUCAUCGAAAUUUUGAACGCAUAUUGCACUUCCGGGUUAUGCCUGGAAGUAUGUCUGUAUCAGUGUCCGUAAACCACCUUGCCUCUCUUUGUUUUGUGUGUGUUGCUCUUUAUUGGGCGAUGCGUGCGGGGUAUCGAGAUGGCAGAUUUGAAGUGUCUCGCCUGUUGGGUGUUUUUUUCAUUUUUGAAUGAAAUGCCACAACUGGGCGAGUCCUUUUAAACGAACACGACUGUUCUGCUGUUUUCUGCAAAAGUGCGGCGCUCGAAAAGCGGUGGUUCCAUUGGGAUCGCUUGCAGUCGGCCGGGACCUUGGCGGAUGCGUGUGGGAUGGAGAGAGAYAGACUCGACUCGCGGUACGUUAGGGUGAGUGCUUUAUUCGUAAGGCGUUCGUUCGAACAAUGUUGCGUGUUGGGUGUUUGUUUUUUUCUUUCUCGCGUGAAGCGCGUUUGCUUUGAGGUGUACUGUGCCAUUGUACUGUGGGUUUGAACCUGGUGUGUGACUGUUUAGCGAAGUAGCGUGCUGUUUUUGUUUUGUGGAAAUACGCUGUUUGUUUCUGCCAAGUGUGGAGACGAGUGGAGUAAAGCGUUCGGUUGGAAUAUUUGGGAAAUAAAUGUGCAUGUGUAUCACUGCGGUAAUCCUUGCGGACUCUUUGAUUUAAUUAUUGAAAGGUGUGCGAGUUUUGUUGCGGCGUUGCGUGCGCAUCUCAAUUGGACCUGAUAUCAGACAAGACUACCCGCU